UUCUACUCGUGGUGCUAUCUUGGCCUGCAAAGACAAGGUAGUCUGGUUCAGAGGACAGGAUGGGUCAAAGAUUUUCUUCUGAGGGGACACAGUAGGGAUGCCUAGAGGUUUGAUGUCAGCCUGUAAGGUUCGUAGGGUGCGUAGGAGGGGUUGUCAGAGGGUUCUAGCUCUUGUUUGAGAGUUCAGCAGUCAGGUCGGGGAACCAGCCUCAGUGCCAGUUGUUCAAGAGAGUUCUUAGAUGUCUUCCCAGGCGAGUUGUCAGGUUUACCAUCUGUCAGGGAGUUAGAGUUUGGUAUAGGAGUGGUGUCUGGACGCAGAACCAUUUCUACCCUUCCCUAUAGGAUGGCGCCUGCAUAGAGAGAGGUAGCAGUAGAGUAGAGGCGAGACUUGGUAGACAAGGGGUUUUGUCCGACCUAGUACCUCACUCUGGAUUGCUCCAGUAUGGUUG
This 448-nucleotide long non-coding RNA is filed under the name Manihot esculenta (cassava). Its description in RNAcentral is "long non-coding RNA (MESC_LNC001193)". The record is from RNAcentral. Lineage: Eukaryota; Viridiplantae; Streptophyta; Magnoliopsida; Malpighiales; Euphorbiaceae.